GAGCCAGGCAGGAGCAUCCCCAUGUGCCCACACCUGGGUGGUCUUGGCGUAUGCCCUCCCACUGCUCCUGUCCUGCUGCAGUCUCCUUCCUCACCCAAGAUAUGAAAACUGAGGCUCAGAGUAAUAACUUGCUCAAGAUCACACUGUUUGUGCAAGACAAAACCAGGAUUUGAACCCAGCCAUUCUCUGAGGAUCUCCUGCUGGGGGAGCCGAGGAUUCAUUGCCAAAAGGCACAGCCUCAGGUAGAUGCUCCAGUGAGGAAGACAGCAAGACAAACAAGCACGGCAGUGCAGAGGCCGACCUCAGGCUCCGUGCCCCAUCCCAGACUGCAUCACCUGACACUAGAUUCACACCUGGGUGUGUCUGGACCAGUACCUUGUCAAGGCCAAGGACGGGGAGGGCAAUCUCGCUCCUGUUGUAGACACAGAGCCCAACCCGGCACCAGGAAGCACUCCAUUAAUAUUCACAAAAGGACCGAAGAAUGAAAAAAUGUCUUGGAGCUUAAAAGAAAGGGUGCCCAUACACAAGGCCAUGGCAUGGCAGGGGUGGGGUGGGGGAGCAGGAAGGAGCCCACACAAUUAAUACACAAUUUGCCCACUUGAAGGAUGGAGAAACUGAGACUGAAAGAGGCUAGGGGAUGUGCCCAAGGACCUCAAAGCUACAAGAAUGGCGCAGGACCCGCAGCUCCCCAGAUACAAGAUAGGCUGGUACAUAUAAAUUCCAGGUACAGCUGCUUCAAGCAUCAGAGGGGUAAUGUUUGCAGGUCUGAGACUCCUCAAAACGCUGAGUACAGGUGAGGGUGCAGUAUCCCAUCUUCUCUCCAAAGCCUCAAAACAGCUCUGGGUGGCAGAUAGACCCUCAUACCACAGACAGAAAAACCGGGGCUCUGGGAGAGGGUGUAGGAUUCCCCAACCCCAGGCCCUUCUUGGUCAGUACCUCAGUGGGACUCUCCUGCUGACUGGCGGUUCCACCUCCAUCCCCUCUGAAAUUCACCAGCACGGGGUGCAGACCUGGGCCCGGGCCUGAAUCUGCCUCUGCCGACUGGGUGACUCGGGCAGGGACCAGCCCUCUUUGAGCCUCAGCUUUCCCAAGAGCCAUCUCCUCUGCCCCACGCAGCUGCUUCAAGGAGCAGAGGAAAGAGCAUGCAUGGACGAUCAGUCACUUCAGUCGUCUCCGACUCUUUGCGAUCCUGUGAACUGUACCUGCCAGGCUCCUCUGUCCAUGGGAUUCUCCAG
Bos taurus (domestic cattle) is the source of this 1235-nucleotide long non-coding RNA. Lineage: Eukaryota; Metazoa; Chordata; Mammalia; Artiodactyla; Bovidae. The record is from Ensembl.